AGUGAACGCUGGCGGUAGGCCUAACACAUGCAAGUCGAACGGCAGCACAGUAAGAGCUUGCUCUUACGGGUGGCGAGUGGCGGACGGGUGAGGAAUACAUCGGAAUCUACUUUUUCGUGGGGGAUAACGUAGGGAAACUUACGCUAAUACCGCAUACGACCUACGGGUGAAAGCAGGGGAUCUUCGGACCUUGCGCGAUUGAAUGAGCCGAUGUCGGAUUAGCUAGUUGGCGGGGUAAAGGCCCACCAAGGCGACGAUCCGUAGCUGGUCUGAGAGGAUGGUCAGCCACACUGGAAGUGAGACACGGCCCAGACUCCGACGGGAGGCAGCAGUGGGGAAUAUUGCACAAUGGGCGCAAGCCUGAUCCAGCCAUACCGCGUGAGUGAAGAAGGCGUUCGGGUUGUAAAGCCCUUUUGUUGGGAAAGAAAAGCAGCAGGUUAAUACCCCGCUGUUCUGACGGUACCCAAAGAAUAAGCACCGGCUAACUUCGUG
This 492-nucleotide ribosomal RNA is filed under the name uncultured bacterium. Its description in RNAcentral is "partial 16S ribosomal RNA". It matches the Rfam family "Bacterial small subunit ribosomal RNA", at positions 29 to 507 of the family's 1533-position model. The record is from RNAcentral.